This is a long non-coding RNA of Aethina tumida (small hive beetle), 453 nucleotides long. RefSeq lists it as uncharacterized. The record is from RefSeq and is a predicted model, not a curated record. The transcript has 3 exons. Lineage: Eukaryota; Metazoa; Arthropoda; Insecta; Coleoptera; Nitidulidae.
UAUUCACUAAUUUUUUUUUGUUACUAUCGGUUCACGCAGCAUAUUGGAAAUCUCGGUGUUGCGGUUUGUACGCGACUAUACUGUGGAAAUCAAUAGAGAUAAAUAUUUACCACCAGUGGCGGCCACACAGAUGAGUGGCACAUUUAAAUUUCGUGCCAAUACCAACAUGUGCGCAUGCGCUUUAAGGUAUAUAUUGUUUCAAUGGCAGGGAAGCUGAGCCGUGCCUCUAGCCAAUGAGAUAAUUCCAAAAGGAGAUAUAAACGAAGUUCCCCAACAUAACGCAAAGAUAUUUUAAUAAAAUUUGGUAUACAAGUAUUUCAAACAAGUGGAAUUUUUUGAAAAAAUUAUUUUGCAGACACACAAAUUUUAUAGUAUCAAUUAUGCGUAGAUAUAAAUAAAAUAUUGUUUUUUUUUAUUCUGCAUAUAAUGUGGCUUACCAGACUCAAACCUCAC